GACGAACGCUGGCGGCGUGCUUAACACAUGCAAGUCGAACGGUGAAGCGCCUUCCUUUUUGGUGGGUGUGGAUGAGUGGCGAACGGGUGAGUAACACGUGAGUAACCUGCCCCCUUCUUCUGGAUAACCGCAUGAAAGUGUGGCUAAUACGGGAUAUUCUGGGUCUGUCGCAUGAUGGGUCUGGGAAAGAUAUUGUUUCGGUGGGGGAUGGGCUCGCGGCCUAUCAGCUUGUUGGUGGGGUGAUGGCCUACCAAGGCGGUGACGGGUAGCCGGCCUGAGAGGGUGGACGGUCACACUGGGACUGAGACACGGCCCAGACUCCUACGGGAGGCAGCAGUGGGGAAUAUUGCGCAAUGGGCGCAAGCCUGAUGCAGCGACGCCGCGUGAGGGAUGGAGGCCUUCGGGUUGUGAACCUCUUUCGCCAGUGAAGCAGGCCUGCCUCGUUUGUGGGUGGGUUGACGGUAGCUGGAGAAGAAGCGCCGGCUAACUACGUG
Molecule: ribosomal RNA, 494 nt
Filed under: uncultured bacterium
Lineage: Bacteria
Description: partial 16S ribosomal RNA
Rfam family: Bacterial small subunit ribosomal RNA
Source: RNAcentral